UCUCCUCCUUUCUCCUCUCUCCUUCUCUCCAGGUCUAACUGGUUGAAGCCGUGCUGUGGGCGGAGGGUAGCCCUGUGGCAGGUGUGUCUGCUCAGUGCAGGCUUCAACUGUUUCCUGGUGGCCCUGGUCAUCCUGGUGGUGGUCUUCUUGACCUUGGAACUCCUCAUAGACACCAAGCAUCUACAAUUUGCCAAUGCUAUUCAAUUUGCCAGCGUCAUCCAUUGGAUCAGCCUUGCCAUCCUUUCACUCUUCUUCACUGAGACUGUCUUCAGGAUUGUAGUCCUUGGGAUUUGGGACUACAUUGAGAACAAAGUAGAGGUAAUAUUAAUUACGCAAGCUUCAUAGCAAGUACUGAAAAUAUAAUAACUUUCCCUCGAGAAAUCAUGAGUUUUAUCAUUGAACUAUUUUUUUCCCCUCAAAUCAAUUCACAUCACAAUUUUUAAAUGUUAAAUGCUGCCAAAAAGUCUGAGGGCAUUGUAAUCUUCCUCAUAUAAAAACCUCAAUGUAAUAUCUCCUAAUG
Molecule: long non-coding RNA, 520 nt
Organism: Oncorhynchus kisutch (coho salmon)
Lineage: Eukaryota; Metazoa; Chordata; Actinopteri; Salmoniformes; Salmonidae
Exons: 3
Source: RefSeq, a predicted model, not a curated record